RNAcentral lists this long non-coding RNA (8088 nucleotides) under Ricinus communis (castor bean). Its description in RNAcentral is "long non-coding RNA (RCOM_LNC000485)". The record is from RNAcentral. Lineage: Eukaryota; Viridiplantae; Streptophyta; Magnoliopsida; Malpighiales; Euphorbiaceae.
CCAAAUUCUGAAAAGGCCUGCUGCACAAAAUUAAUUCAUCGAUAUCCCGACUAAAUAUUGCACGGAACCCACAGUGCUUCACCCUCAAUCGAUCAGAAGAAAAUGUCACCUUAAGGUGAUUACAUGCUUCCCACAUAUCUAAACAAGUUAGAGAGCUACGUGGCAUGUAGUUGAACCAAAGUUGAUCGGAUGUAAUGUUGCUCGAAUCCUUAGAGAUGUGCACUAUAGAGCUACCUAGAAACAAAUCCUGAUCCUCUGCAAUGCAUGCGUGCAAAUCGCAAAGGAUUGCACUUGUAUCUGUUUGAGACUCUUGAGAUUCAAAGACUAUACUAAUUGCAAAUCCCAUCCACUUGUUAGUCCACCAAAAUGGAGGCAACUGCAGUUUUAAUGAAGAUCCUACUGACUGAUAGUUGAACCAACCAGGAAUUUCAUUUCCAGCUAAACAAAUGGAGAUCUGAGAGCUUGGAUUAAAGAGUCCCUGAAACAAAAUCAUUAUUUGUGAUAUUUACGUUUCUGUAGAGAACUAAAGAUAAAUGUUGGAACAACUAAAAUUUCAUUUGCAAGUGACGAGGAGAGGCAGACCUGAGAGCUGUGCCUUAGAAGGUAGUGCAGAUAACUUGUCAGCCUUCUAAAUGCACUAGUGUCUUCACUUUGAACCUCAAUCAACUUCAAGCAAUUAACAAAUGUCAAUGAUGAAGAAUUUGAUGUCUGAGUUUCUUGUGAAGUUAAACCAUCCACACUUAGAUGUAAAAUACUUGAUGAAAGAUUCGGCGAUAGCUGUAGCCUCUUGCAGUCCUCAACGUGGAGAUUUUCAAGUUUAAAUUGUCUGCUGAUGUUUCUUGGUAGCAAACUUUGCAACACUGUGCAACCAUCCAUACUGAGAUAUAAAAUACUUGAUGGAAGAUUUGGAAAUGCCUGAAGCCUCUUGCAAUCAGCAAAUCGAAAAUCUUCAAGUUUAGUAAGUCUGCUAAUGCUUGAAGGAAUGCUAAAAAAAUCAUUACCACUCAGAUUGAAUGUUUUCAACAUUGGGAAGCAGCUUAGAUCAUUGGGAAGUGCUCCUUCCAUUAGAUUGCAGUAACUUAAAUCCAAUGACUUCAAGGAUCGUAAGACUGAUAGAGAAGGCAAUGUCACAGCCAAUGGAUUUUGAUUCUUCCAUGGCAAAAACCGUGAAGGGAGAAGAAAAUCCCACAGCUUAGCUAAUGGAAGUUGACUUGUAGCAAUUCCACCUACAUUGAGCUUCUCCAGAUUUGUAAUAUCACCCAACCUUUCUGGCAAUUUCUCAAGUUUUGAGCAGCCUUGCAAAUUAAGAAACUUAAGGGACUUAAGAUCACAUAUGCUAUCUGGAAGCCUUACAAGGCUUCUGCAGUCCUUCAAGUUCAAUGAAACCAGCCUAUUCAGAAUUCCAAGGGAUUGAUGAACCUCAAAAAGUCUUGUGCAACCUUCAAGAUUCAAGCUUUCAAGAUUCGGGACAUCCUUGAAGUCCAUGGUCUUGAGUAAAUUGACUGAGUAACUAAGAUCAAUGACCUUCAGCAUCUUUAGAGGCUGUAAAAACAUGUCAAUAAAAGAAAGAAGCUCUAAAAGUUAGCAUCAAUAACCUAAUAUAAUUAUGAAUUUCAAGUACUAAUGUAAGUUAAAAGAAAAAGAAAACAUACUUUGAUUCCUUUCCACAAUCUUUCCAUGAUACUACAGCGCAUAUGAAGCUCAGUAAGUUCAUCUGGCUGGAAACUGGAAGGCAAAAAUUUGAAAGGAUAUCUAUCCCAUUCCAGAUAUCUUAACUUAUUUGAAAGAUACUCAAGGCCCUGUGAUAGAUGCAAAUUUCGAAGUUUGAGCAGCCUUAGCCUUUUCAUCCCCAUGAAGCCUUUAGCACUCAAUUGUUCAUCUUCUUGUUCACAUGAAUCAAGAACUAUGGCUUCAAUUUGUUCUGUUCCCUGAAAAUUGAACAUCAUGAUAGUGAGCAUAUGAAGGAAUAGUAAUUAGGAGCCUUAAAUAGAUUGAAGAUCAACAAGAGUAAGUCAUUUACCGUAUCAUUUGAUAGAACAUGACGUAUAUCCUUAUAAAGCCAUAAUCUACUUCUUUUUCCUGGUUCUUCCUGUGAUUCUCGCCGAACAAUAUCUCGACCCAAUUCUUGAAGUAAAUCAUGCAUCCAUAUUCUCUCUUUUGAAAUGGUUAUGAGAGAUUUACUAACCAGAACACUUAUGCCAAAGUCCGGAUACAAGCCGCAACUAUCCAAUACUUCAUACACAUAAUCUCUAUCCUCUCCAUUGAAAAAACAAGCAAUAUCAAGGAAUAGUUUCUUCUCCAUUUCCUCCAAUCCAUCAAAACUUAUAUUAAGCUUAUCCAAAAUUUCUUGAUUUGGAAUUUCUUUCAAUCUAUCCAGUGCACUUCUCCACUCACUUAGAGAUUUACCAAACAAAAAGGAACCAAAAACAUCAAGAGCUAAUGGAAGCCCAUUGCAGUAAUUCACAAACUGAUUGGAGAGCUCCAAAAAAUCCUCUAUUGGAUGAUCAUUUCUAAAGGCUUUCAGACAAAAGAGAUGAAGGGCUUCAUCACGACCUAAUCCUUCAACUCUGUAAAUUUUAUCUACUCCAUGGCAUUUCAAUAAAUGUUCAUCUCUACUUGUGACAAUUAUCCUGCUUCCCUUCCCAAACCAAUCAUGCAUACCAGCUAACAUUUUUAAUUGGUCUAAUUGAUUCACGUCAUCAAGAAUGAUAAGAACUCUUUUGUGAGCAAGCCUAUUGCUGAUCUCAGUCAUACCACCAAACGCAUUGCAAAUAGUUAUGUUCCUAUCCAGUAGAAUUUCAGAAAGAAGUUGCUUUUGCAAAUGAACUAAACCUCUCUUCUCCUCAACUUCUCUAACAUUUGCUAAGAAGCUGCUACCUUCAAAUUGAGAAGAUAGUUCCUCAUGGACGAAUCUAGCAAUAGUCGUCUUACCUAUGCCGCCCAUCCCACAAAUCCCAAUAAAUUGAACGUCAUCCAAUUGCCCCAUAUCUAAACACAUACUCAUUUCAACCAACCGCGAAUUCAUUCCUACAAAAUUCUUAGCUGCACUUGAUUCCAAACUGGUUUUUCUCAAUUUGCUUAGAACCUCUUUAACAAUUUCCUGAAUAAGCUCUGACUCAUGCCUGCAAAGCAACAAUUACUAGUAUGGUCACAUAACGAACGAUAUUUUAGAAUAUGCAAAUAAUCUUGUUCCUUUUUAUGUGUUGCACAGAAUCAUUGAUGCUCUUAUAAUCAAGAGUGUAGCUUUGGAAGUUAAUGAAAUCAACAAAUAUUACAUCUUUAACUAUUAUAUGAUGAAACCAUGUUCAGUACAAUUACAAUUAGCUAAGAUUAACAAAAAUAUGUUAAUUAGAGAACUGGAGUAACCUCAAAUGAAUAUCGUAUAAAUUGAAUGCUAAGAUCAAAGGCAAAACAACGUCUAUAUAAACCCAAAAAGAAAAGAAGUCACAAAUCCCAAGACCCGUAGGAACCCACUAACCUUACACGAGAAGAUGACUUCCGAUUAUGGAAAAAAAGCUGUAAUCUUUUCGAUGGGUUUUUUUUUGUGAUUGAAGGCUGGUCCUCUUCUUCUUAUAUAUUGUUUUCUUAGUUUGAUUUUUGUAGAUUAGAAAUUUCUUCACCAUUAACUUUCUAAUGAAUCUUCACCCGGAGUGGUGGUGGUGGCCGUUUCCUUACAACUUCACCACAACUUCCCACUGAAGUCGUCGCCUCGUCGGUGGUGAAUUGAUGAAUGGUCUUCUUCAGACCAAAACCAAAAUAAAAUUUUAAAGGUAAAAGACUAUUUGUUUAAAGUGGUGGAAUCUUUAAUUUGAUAAAACUGAGUAAUAAUAAUCAUAAUCCCCCUUCCGAUUUUUCCUUACGGGAUGCAUUUCAUGACAAAAGGUAAAGAAAGUCAAUUUAUGUACAUCACAGAGCGUUAUACAUUUUAGCAUUAAAUUGUUAAUAAUAAUAUUUAAUUAUUUAAAAUUAAUAAAUAUAUUUUUAUAUAAAUAAAGAUUUAAAAAAAAUGGAAAUGAUAAGAGGGCUAACUAAUUGGUGCCUUGAUUAUAAAAAAUCUAUCAUUAUUGAGAUUAAUGAAACAAAUUAUACCUAACUAAUAUAGAUUAAAAUUUAAAAUGCUCUAAUAGUCUUACUUCAAGAUAUGCACCAGCAUUGAUAGCUAUAUCCAGAAAUUUAGUAAUUAAAGUUAAUAAUGACAAGAAAUAAUGUAGUCGUAUAUAUUAUGGGCAAAUUGUGAGAUGGAUGUGACAAGAUGAUUGUGAUGUUAAGGUGAUGGUUGGCGUUUGGAAUGGUAAUGGUGGUUGUAGUUAGACAAUUCCAGAGACUUGUCAUUUGCUUCCAAAAGUACAUUAUCAGAACGCGUAGCAGCCAUUAUCUCUUUUCUUUUUUCUUUCUCUAUUUUCUUGAAAUGUGUUAAUAUAAAAUACUGAAACCAUGUGUUACUUACUACACUAUUUUAUGAUAGAUAAGUCUUGGAGAAAAGUAAAUUAUUCCUGAUAAGAUUUUAACAGACUCUUAACCUGCUUUCUUUUGAUAUUAAGAAAUAGAAAAGGUGAAUCCUUGACAAAUUUGUCUAUCAAGAAUAUAUAUUUUAUGAUAUCAGCAACGAAGUUAAAAAGAAAGAUCAUUUUACCUAUCUAGUGAAUCCCAGCCAGCAAGAUUGGCCAAUUCAGAAAUGGCAGCUCUCCAUCGUUGAACUUUCUGAACAUCAUUCUUGAAACGCAGUUCAUGCUUAGCAAAUGCUUUUCCAAAUCCUGCAGCCUGUUUCCUCACCUCAUAAGGAUUCACAUUACAGAAGACGGGCAUUACAAUCUGCCCUUUCUCUUUCCUGCAUUUAUGGAUCUCUGCAAGUUCAUCCAAGCACCAAGACGAAGAAGCAUAGUCUCUUGAGAAAACGAUCACUGCAAUUUUCGAACCAUGGAUUGCUUGGAGCAGCGCUUGAGAAAUGGUUUUCCCUCUCUCGAGUUCUUCAUCAUCUCUGAAAGUGAUAACCCCUUUUUGACACAGCGCGGCAUAAAGGUGGCUGGUAAAGUUCUUUCGGGUAUCUUCCCCUCUGAAACUCAGGAAUACGUCAUAUUUCCAUGAAUGAAUAGCAGCAGAAGAAGCCAUAUAUAGAAAUCAGAAUCCAAUCUAAUAGAGCAGCAAAAAACAGUAUAUAGGAAGGCGGGGAGAGUUAAGCAGAGGUAUUGCAUGGCUGCUGAGGCAACAUUAAUUACUUAUAUAUAUAUGAGUGAGAGAUCCUACCUAACGCGUCUGUGAAGAAAAGAUCAACAGUGUAAACAAAAAUACUUCCAAAGUCUCAGUUUGGACAAGCAGUGGCUUCCUUUCGAGAUUCCAAGUCUUUUUUGGCUAACUAACGAAUAACUUCAUUUUAACAUUCCGUACCUCACUCGGACUCGGACACAUAAAAGCGGUAUGAAUUUCAUGAAGACUAGCUACCAUUCUACUGCUAUUUUCACACUGUCAUAUAUCAAUACAUUUGAUCAUUUAUUUUGAUUUAAAGUUGUUGAGAAUUAGAGGUUCAAGUAUCACUUAAUUGAUGAUUAUAUUCAUAUUCGGUUACAAUGCAAUGCAAGAUAGAAUUGAAUAAAAUUUUAAAUCUCGUGCAUGUAAUUGAUAAAAUAAACACUCAGUCAAACUAAGUUAUUAUAAUUAUCAAAUUCUAUUAUAAAUUCUGCUGCAAUCAACAAUGGCGUGCGUUACAGAAAAAAGAAAAAAGAAUUGUAUGCAUAUAGCGACAGAAGAAAAAAAACUAUUUAGGAACAUCCAUUAGCUGUCACUAAAACGAUCACCAAUGCUAUUGAAAACGUCAAGAGUUUUGUAGCUAAUUUUGCUGCCAUGGGCUCCUUGGUUUAACAGAAAAUAAAUUAAAUUUAUUUGUCAAGAACUGAUCAUUACAUAAUGAAUAUUUAUGUCACAAAGUUAUUUGUUUAGGUUUACUGUUCAUAAUCUUUAGUUGACAAUCCUGACAGUCAAAUUUCUUUGACCUUGCCUUUACUACUCUUGUCUUCUGUUCUUUGGUAGCAGUAGCCUUUGAUUGAAAUUAUAUAUAGUAUGAUCAGUCAUGAACAGAAGAAUUUGGAGUACAAAAUGGAAUAGAAUAGUCAUGUAUAAAAGGAUUUGUAGUAGCAAGUCAUUUUCCACAAGUAAGUAUUAGCGGUAGGCUAAUGACAGUGAAUGAGUGCAUCUUAAGUUAUUAAAAAGCAUCUAUAAGUGGCACGUUUUUGUCACCAUCAAACCAUCCAAUAUGUAGACCAUAACCGGUACUAGAGAAUGGAUAAACCUAUCGAAUCAACUUGUUUCCUUUGAAUUAACCUUUUCUUUUAGUUGUAAUUGGGGAUCUAAUUUAGCAUGUGAGUUGCAAUUAAUGUUGUGAGUCAAUUAUUUAAUUAUUUGUCAGCAAUACAUAUACCAAAAAGUUUAUCCAUCACAACCCAAUAAAAUCUAUUAAACCAAAACAUCAAUGACAGAGUCAACCGGGGGAGCCUUGGGGAUAAAAGUUUAGUUUUAUCUUUACAAUUAUUUUAUUUUUUUGAAGGAAGAAAACUCAAGUUCUGUAGCUUCCCUUUAUAAAUAUCAACUUUAAGCAACUUGUAAUAUAAAAUUACAAGUUGCUUACAAAUACAAAUGAUGGACUAUUAAACGUCAACUUUAAGGUUUUGGGUAGUUGUCAAGGUCGAGCACAUUUUCGUGGCAGGGACUCUGAAAAAUCCGUCUCCGGGUAUAGGAAACAUAUAUUGAAUCAUUCCACGUCUUUUUCAUGGAUUUUUAUGACUAGACUUUUCUUAUAUAUUAUUCUAGUUUAAUUACUUGGAGGAAAAAAAAAAAAAGUUACAAGUGUUGUUUCUUUCUUUUAACCACGCAAGUCUACAGACUAGUUAUGGAGUUUAUGUGUUCCACAAAAAUAAAAACAACUGCAUUUCAAAUGCCAGAGAAUAAUGAAAUCAUAAAUUUUAUUCACAGCAGCCCUUGCCCAGUACUUCAUAAAGUCCAGUACAUAUGCACUACAUUCUAGAAGAAGUGUCCUCUUGAAGGCUUUGGCCCGUGAGUUUUAGCUCUCAGGAUCCUCUGUCAUUCUCAUUCUCUUGUAAGACAAUUUAUUUACCAGGUUGCGACUUUCACCAGGUUCCACUCCACUUCCAGAACAAAAAUCGUCAUGGUUUCUCUUGCCUCUAUCAACAUUAACAAUAUUGGGGAGACCCAAAUUCUGAAAAGGCCUGCUGCACAAAACUAAUUCAUCGAUAUCCCGACUAAAUAUUGCACGGAACCCAGAGUACUUCACCCUCAGUUGGUCAGAAGAAAAUGUCACCUUGAGGUGAUUACAUGCUUCCCACAUAUCUAAACAGGUUAAACAGCUACGUGGCAUGUAGUUGAUGCAAAGUUGAUCAGAUGUAAUAUUGCUCGAAUCCUUACAGAUUUGCAACUAGAAACAAAUCCUGAUCCUCUGCAAUGCAUGCGUGCAAAUCGCAGAAGAUUGUACUUGUAUCUGAUCGAGACUCUUGAGAUUCAAAGACUAUACAAAAUGCAAAUCCCAUUCACUUGUUAGUCCACCAAAAUGGAGGCAACUGCAGUUUUAAUGAAGAUCCUACUGACUGAUAGUUGAACCAACCAGGAAUUUCAUUUCCAGCUAAACACGUGGAGAUCUGAGAGCUUGGAUUAAAGAGUCCCUGCAACAAAGUCAUUAUUUGUGAUAUUUAAGUUUCUUUAGGGAAGUAAAAGACAAAUGUUGGAACAACUAAAAAUAUCAUUUGCAAGUGGCGAGGCGAGGCAGACCUGAGAGCUGUGCCUUAGCAAGUAGUGCAGAUAACUUGUCAGCCUUCUAAAUGCACUAGUGUCUCCGCUUUGAACCUCAAUCAACUUCAAGCAAUUUAGAAAUGUCAUGAUGAAGAUUUUGAUGUGUAUAAUUGUGACAUAGUGUCAUAAAAAUCAGUAAAAUAGAACUAAUCCUUCUUUGCUUCCCAGACUUUCAUGCUUUUCUAUCAUAAAUUGGUGGCACCAAACAAUUGGUAGUCAGCACGAAUGAUGCAGCUUUCAAAAUCCUUCCUUAUUUAAUGACCAAAAAUCUGAUAUGAGACUGGCUAUUCAAGC